AACGAACGCUGGCGGCAGGCUUAACACAUGCAAGUCGAGCGAAGACUUCGGUCUUAGCGGCGGACGGGUGAGUAACGCGUAGGUGACCUGCCCCGAAGUGGGGAAUAACUGCCCGAAAGGGUGGCUAAUACCGCAUGUGGUGAUGCGUUCAUUCGCAUCAGUAAAGCCGCAAGGCGCUUCGGGAGGGGCCUGCGUCCGAUUAGCUCGUUGGUGGGGUAACGGCUCACCAAGGCGACGAUCGGUAGGUGGUCUGAGAGGACGAUCACCCAGACUGGGACUGAGACACGGCCCAGACUCCUACGGGAGGCAGCAGUCGGGAAUUUUGCGCAAUGGACGAAAGUCUGACGCAGCAACGCCGCGUGAGGGAUGACGGCCUUCGGGUUGUAAACCUCUUUUGUCAGGGACGAUGAUGACGGUACCUGACGAAUAAGCCACGGCUAACUACGUGCCAGCCGCCGCCGUAAAAC
RNAcentral lists this ribosomal RNA (467 nucleotides) under uncultured bacterium. RNAcentral describes it as "bacterial SSU rRNA". It matches the Rfam family "Bacterial small subunit ribosomal RNA", at positions 29 to 526 of the family's 1533-position model. The record is from RNAcentral.